UGAGGGGCGGGACGCGCGGCAGAGCCAAACCGCGGUGAGAGUGCGAAGAUGGCAGCUGCGGACGAGCCGAAGCCCAAGAAGCUCAAGGUGGAAGCGCCAGAAGCGCUGAGAUUAUCUGGGCCGGUGGGAUGGCUCAGCAGAUAAAGGCAUUUGCUGCCCAGUUGGAUGACCUGAGUUCAGUCAGACUCCAGGACCCACAUGGUGGACGGAGUGAACCUAUUCUUCUGUUGCUCUCUGGCCCCUCCCCACUAAAUAAAACAGAUACUGUCUCCUUAGAUUUUUCUUUUAAUAAAAGUAAGAGUUUGUAUAUG
Molecule: long non-coding RNA, 311 nt
Filed under: Rattus norvegicus (Norway rat)
Lineage: Eukaryota; Metazoa; Chordata; Mammalia; Rodentia; Muridae
Description: long non-coding RNA NONRATT010723
Source: RNAcentral